RNAcentral lists this ribosomal RNA (468 nucleotides) under uncultured bacterium. RNAcentral's name for it is "partial 16S ribosomal RNA". It matches the Rfam family "Bacterial small subunit ribosomal RNA", at positions 28 to 507 of the family's 1533-position model. The record is from RNAcentral.
GACGAACGCUGGCGGCGUGCUUAACACAUGCAAGUCGAACGGAAAGGCCCUGCUUUUGUGGGGUGCUCGAGUGGCGAACGGGUGAGUAACACGUGAGUAACCUGCCCUUGACUUUGGGAUAACUUCAGGAAACUGGGGCUAAUACCGGAUAGGAGCUCCUGCUGCAUGGUGGGGGUUGGAAAGUUUCGGCGGGUGGGGAUGGACUCGCGGCUUAUCAGCUUGUUGGUGGGGUAGUGGCUUACCAAGGCUUUGACGGGUAGCCGGCCUGAGAGGGUGACCGGCCACAUUGGGACUGAGAUACGGCCCAGACUCCUACGGGAGGCAGCAGUGGGGAAUAUGGCACAAUGGGCGGAAGCCUGAUGCAGCAACGCCGCGUGCGUGAUGACGGCCUUCGGGUUGUAAACCGCUUUCGCCUGUGACGAAGCGUGAGUGACGGUAAUGGGUAAAGAAGCACCGGCUAACUACGUG